UACGGAGGAUGCGAGCGUUACCCGGAUUUAUUGGGUUUAAAGGGUGCGUAGGCGGGCUUUUAAGUCAGCGGUAAAAAUUCGGGGCUCAACCCCGUCCGGCCGUUGAAACUGGGGGUCUUGAGUGGGCGAGAAGAAGGCGGAAUGCGUGGUGUAGCGGUGAAAUGCAUAGAUAUCACGCAGAACCCCGAUUGCGAAGGCAGCCUUCCGGCGCCCUACUGACGCUGAGGCACGAAAGUGCGGGGAUCGAACAGG
This 252-nucleotide ribosomal RNA is filed under the name uncultured bacterium. Its description in RNAcentral is "partial 16S ribosomal RNA". It matches the Rfam family "Bacterial small subunit ribosomal RNA", at positions 524 to 776 of the family's 1533-position model. The record is from RNAcentral.